GUACUCCCAUCUUAGCAUCUAAGAAAGCAAAGAAACAAAAAGUAAAUGAAGUUGAAGUCAAAUCCAAGGGUGAAAAACCACAAGAUAUGAAAAAUUUUGAGACAUUGGUUGGCCUCAUGCUGAGUACAUCAAGAGCACACCCUAUAAACUUCCCAGAUGAUGUUUUUGGUGAGAGUUGCAAGACCUUCAUGAUGAAAGAAGAUAUGGAAAUGAUAAUAUCAUUAAAAGAAGUGUCAUCCAAUUGUAUUUUAUACUACAUCUGGCAUUUGCAUAGAAAGUUGAUUGAUGCAAAGCAGGCCGAACGAUAUGUUUUUGUCAAUCA
Long non-coding RNA from Vitis riparia (riverbank grape), 322 nucleotides. RefSeq lists it as uncharacterized. The transcript is spliced from 3 exons. The record is from RefSeq and is a predicted model, not a curated record. Lineage: Eukaryota; Viridiplantae; Streptophyta; Magnoliopsida; Vitales; Vitaceae.